This is a non-coding RNA of Anas platyrhynchos (mallard), 5214 nucleotides long. NCBI's taxonomy places the organism in Eukaryota, Metazoa, Chordata, Aves, Anseriformes, Anatidae. The record is from RefSeq and is a predicted model, not a curated record.
CAUAGAAUGGUUUUUGGAGCAGUGCACAAACAGGAUUUUCUGUGCAGUCAUUUCUUGGGACUUCUGGACAAUACAACCUCAACAGCACUUCUCAUCCUUCUCCAAAGGAAGCCAAGCCAAAAGGAAAUACUCAGAGGCAGGCAGGGCAGGGAUGGUGCUGUGCACCCAAGAAGUAAAAUCCUCAAGAGAAAAGCUGUUAUGAACAAACAAAGCAUGUAGAGAAGGUAUAAGGGGACAAGGCAGGUGUGUGUAGGCUGAAAUGGAAAGCCAGAGGCUGGUGUGAUAGAUUUAUGACAAGACUGGAGGAGAGGCUGAGGAAAUCUACCUAUUAUAGCUUAAAAAAUGGUCCCAUCAGAAGACUGUCAUGAGUGCUCUACUGUGCAAAUUUAUGACAUGCAGUGGGAGUGAUCAUGUCUUCUGUAAGAGCUUGUUAAGAAAAAAAAAAUUGAUUUCAUGAAUAAUGUUCACAAAAGUGCAAUAGAACUUUUUUUUUCCCUCAAGAAUGUCUGCUGUCCAUUGGUGGGAGAAAAAAGAAUAAAAAAAAAGCUCCUACAUUAAUAAUAACUGAAAACUGUUUUAUUUUUUUUUCUUUUCUGUAGCUGAAAGUGGGAACUAAUUCCAAUGUUUGUUUGAUUUUUUUUUUCUCUUCCAGAUUUUAAUUUUAGAGCAAAGAGAUUUUUUUUUCUUCUUCUUCCAGAAAUAUAUUUAAGGCCUUGAAAAUCUAUUUUCUUCUGCUUGGAAAUAUUCCACAGUGAGGAAAGAUGUGGGUUUGAAGCUUUCUGGCAAGUACUUCAGGAGUAUGGCCAUGGAGUAUUCUGCAGAGCGACGGCAUGUGGCUGGGGGAGAAGGGCACACACUGGGAAUUUCAGUGGACAAGAACAUGCUGCUAACAAUGGAAAGUGAGCUGAUGAUUUUCCCAGGCACUUGUCCCCAAGGGCAGGUGGCAGGUGGGGACACCCCUGUGACACAACGACCACCCCUUGCACCCUUUUCUGAGACCUCAUGCCUGUCGGUAGCACUACAAGAUAUCUGUUAUAGGCAUACCCUUGUGUCACUAAAAUAGUAGUAUGUACUGCAAGGAGAUAGAGCUGUUGUGAGUAACUGAUGUGUUACCCGUGCUAUGAAGCAGUUCCUGCUCACAGUGAGGGCUAUGUGGUUUUUGGCAUCAUUUUAGUUACCUAUGGUCUAAGGUGAUGCUUUCUUCUGGUAUAACCCAGAACUAUGUGCACUUGUUACUUCUGCCUGGCAGGGCUGCUCUCAGGUUAUCCCUGGGACAGAAAUGCAGAUGUUUACGGUAUGUCCACACCAGUGAACUUAAAACAUAGCCAGGAGCAGUUCCCGGGUUUCAGGCAGCUAGCCUGUGUGGUGGUUUCCUCUCCACCCCUCCAGGCUGACCACAUCCAAGCAGGUGUCUGGGAGCAGCCUCUGGCCCCUAAUCUGCUCCCAGGGAUUGCUGGGGAGGUGCUGGUGGCCCAGACCUCAACCCCGCUAUGGCAGCACACAUGAUCAAUUUUGGGGUCUGAACCUGCAAACCUGGAUCUUCAGGAUUAAUUUAUUAGUAUGGAUGUAACCUCUGUUUUCUCUGUGAGGAAGGAGAGGAAACAGGAAAAACUUCUCACUUAUUUACAUAAACCGUAAUGCUGCUUACCCCAAAUGUUGCCUUCUAAUGCAGUGACUUGGCUGGAAAUUGUUUAGGGCUUGAUUUCACAAGUGCUAAACUCUACAUCCCUGCUUUCAUGAAAAGACAGGCAAAAGGCAGCAGGAGGCCACGGGCACCAGCCCAGCGCUGAGCUGUCCAUGCACUGUCCAUGUCCAUGUCCAUGUGCUCCAUGUCCCGUGCUUUUGAGGUGGGCAAGCUGAUGGCCACUUGAAGCAGCAAUCUCACCAGUCCCCACAGAUACUCUGCCUGUCAGAGGGUGGGUUACACUGUAGGGAAAGAGGGAUGCUCAGAGUGGCUUCCAGGCAGCCCCCAGCAGAAGAAGAAGGUGUUUGUGGACAUCUGAGGCUUCCUUCUUGAUUUUUUUUACUAUGGCUUCAUCCAUAGUUGCAAACUAAAUCCUUCCCAGUGUGCUGUUGCUGGCUCCAUGAGAACAAUCCAGUUCCUAAUUUUGUUUCUGUGCUACAAAGACACAAACGGCUUCCUUGUAUAAAACAGAAACUCACAGAGAGACACUCCUUGAAGUGAUAUUUAUUCUCCAGGCUGGCAGCACUUCACCCCUUGGAGCAAUCUUCUAAGACAGAGGUUGCCCAACUCACUGAAGAACUAAUUCUGUUCCUGAUGAUUGAUGGGAGCUACGACUUCAUGACCUCAACUCAUGCUCUGAAGAAAGUGAGUUUGGACCAUAAAGCAGGCAUGGCACACCCAAAAGCAAAACACUGGAAAGGAUUUGGUCUGGUUAUGUGCAUAGUGCUCAGGGAUCAGCUGCUCCAUGCUGUCACUACCCCAGAGCACGUGGGAUGGUGCUGCUCCUCCUGGAGCAUCCCUGGGCUGCUCAGCUGGGAGGAGGGAGGCUGAGAUGACAUCUCCCAUCCCCUUUCUGAGCUGCUCAUUGCUUUCACUGGCUUUCACUGUAAAAGUAACCCAACUGAUCGUGUGCACCAGCAAUUAGCAAGUGGUCACGCACUUCCAGCAAAACCAGAAAGAAGAAAGACAGAGCAGCAAUAACAGAGGGACAGCUUUGUGCACACUGAGCUGGCAAGGACACAGAGGACACAGAGGGCAUGUACAAAGGAUUCAAUAUUUUCUUUUUUUUUUUUUUUUUAAUUUAAUCUGACAUUUAGCAAUCGUAACUUUUCAUUUGAGUAAUGAAUGGGUUUGUCCUUUUCAGCCAAACUGCUGUGGACAUCUUAUUCCCUUUAUGGUGUGUUUUGCUGAAUUCCAGAUGUUGCUGUUUAUUCAAGACAAAGUUCAUCCAGAGAAGGGUCAAGAAAGAAAAAGAUUUGCUGAAAGGAAAAAAAAAAUAAGGAGGAUUUUGGGAACAGCUAGUUUGUCUAGAUAUUACUGUUCUAUGGAGCCUUGCAUGAGCCGAAUUAUGGCAAUGAAGUGAACCAGUCUGGGAGAGUGGAAAUAACUGUCGGCGCCUGCUUCCCCCAUUAACCUUUUUUUUUAAUGUGAACUUGUAAAACAGUAUGUGGUCUGGGAGAUGGGAAAUGGGUUGGUACGUACCGAGAUAGAUGCCUCCACAGGAGAAAUUAGCAUCUUUCCUCAUGUGAUGGUGAAAGAAAUAGCUCUUUGCUCAUCUCAGCCUAGUCCUAGCUUAAGUGCAGCUCUCUACAGGCUGAGAUGGAGCAGCCAGGGGAAGUACGUGAUUAAAGAUGCUGCUUAUUUGGGUUAUGCCCUAAUUGUUUCUGUCUCGGACUGGGUCCCCAGUGUGCCAGGUGCUGUAUGAAGGCAAGCCCAAUCCACACUAGCACAUUUGUAGGCUAAACCAAAGCACCACAAGCAUUGCUCAGAUAGGAGAAGAUGAAACAUCCUUCAGUUGCUUUCCUUGAGAAGAGCAAAAGCAGCAUUUGCAUUUUGACUGGUUUUCAAUCUUGGGAGUGCAGGAAGAAGCCAGUCAGACCACUGGGGCUGUGCAGCCUUCCCCACAGAGCAGAAGGAGCAGGGAAGAGAGCUGAGCUGGAUUUAGUCCCUGGGUAUAACUAUACUGUGCCUAUGAAUUUGCCUCCAAUUUUGGCAGUUCUUCUCCACACUGGAAAGCAAAAUAAGCAGAAAACAAGCAAGAGGAUCAUUUUAGUUGCAGGUAACACAUGCACAAGUGUGGUUUGCUACCUGCUGUAGCUAGCAGAAGACUGCUGAGAUAUUUAGCAGCCUAUCUAAAUUGGCAGCACUCCUGAGAAGUGCAUGUUCAGGUGCUAAUUCAGCCUUUUGUCCCUGUUAGGUGGGAUGCAACUGCCCCUGAUGGGCUGGGUUCAAAGUGUGGGUAUGCCCUGCCUGCCCAUGCGCCACCACCUACUGUGAUAAGGGACUGAGAUGGACAGAGAGGAAGUCUUCUCUGUGACCAAGGGGCAUGGUGCAGAGGUUUCAUCUAGCCCCUAAGAGCUGGGAGUUACCUCCUCAGGAAGCCAGGGGGCUGAAAUAUCCUCAGUUCUGAGGUGUUGGGAAGGGAGGUCCAUGGCAUCAUGUCUGUAGACGCCUUAUGUUGGGUUGGAGAUGAGCAGCAACAUAAAAUCAGCACAAAGCACAAUAAGUAGGUAUCUAUCCCCUGGCCAAAUUGCUAUCUGGCCAAUUCCUGAGCAACCUUUCCCUCCAGUAACCUUUGGAGUAUGUUGGGAGCUUGGCAGGCAGGUUGGCUCCUGCUCCUGAGCUUGCUCUGUGUGGAAAAAAGGGAUUGAUGAUGGAGACAGUGCAGGGCCUGCCUGUUACAGCUCUCCCACCUCCUUUAUCCCCAUGCAGGACAUCCCAGGAGGAAGAGGAGGACAUGGCAGUGCUGGGAGUGAUCGCCUCCCAGAGCAGCAGAGCUGAAGGGCAAACAGGAGACUAAAACAUGAAGAGCACAAUGCAUCGUUCCUUUUGUGUUUGUCAUGAGGAAACACACAGCAUUACACAGCCUACAGUCUGCAUAGACAAGAAUAAUAGACAUUGGACAUAGGAUGAGAUAUGAAGAUGUCUAAGCCAACAACACCAAAACGGUGAUGACCUUUCUGCCUGUUUUGUUUAUGACACAUCCCCACAAAGCCAGACUACGUAUUGCUCCUGGGGGCAGACCAGUUUUGCUUCUUGCAUCCUUGAUCUCCUCAUGUCCAAAGCUCCCAAAGACUCGUCUGUAGGCUGUCUUGGAAGAAUCAUGGAUAUCCUAAUAGUGAAAAAAAACCACACACAUGUUGGUUGGAGAAACUCGCAGAGACAAUGAGGAGCACCAAAGAGCUGACCUGGGAUUCACCUGGCCCAGGUGCACAAGCUUUGUCUUUCAGUACAGAUGGCUCAGUUACUUUGGAAGGCAGAACAGUCAUGACCAGCAGAGGAUAACUGGCCCAAUGAGCAGAAAAGGAGUAGCUGGUGUGCUGCAUUGUGACUUCAGAAACGCUUUUGCUGGAUGACGCACUUGGACACUAAGAAAGAGGGAAAGAUUAAAUCACGGUGAGAUGGCUGGAGGGUGCUACAGAGCAGUGCAUCGGUGUCGCUGCAGCUCACCAGCCCCAGCCUGCCCAGCAGCCUCAUCUACUGAGCUUCUUGCACUGGCAUGGGUGCAAGAAAUAUCAUUCACCUCUGUG